AUUGAACGCUGGCGGCAGGCCUAACACAUGCAAGUCGAACGGUAACAGGAAGAAGCUUGCUUCUUUGCUGACGAGUGGCGGACGGGUGAGUAAUGUCUGGGAAACUGCCUGAUGGAGGGGGAUAACUACUGGAAACGGUAGCUAAUACCGCAUAACGUCGCAAGACCAAAGAGGGGGACCUUCUGGCCUCUUGCCAUCGGAUGUGCCCAGAUGGGAUUAGCUAGUAUGUGGGGUUACGGCUCACCUAGGCGACGAUCCCUAGCUGUUCUGAGAGGAUGACCAGCCACCCUGGAACUGAGACACGGACCAGACUCCUACGGGAGGCAGCAGUGGGGAAUAUUGGACAAUGGGCGCAAGCCUGAUGCAGCCAUGCCGCGUGUAUGAAGAAGGCCUUCGGGUUGUAAAGUACUUUCAGCGGGGAGGAAGGGAGUAAAGUUAAUACCUUUGCUCAUUGACGUUACCCGCAGAAGAAGCACCGGCUAACUCCGUG
RNAcentral lists this ribosomal RNA (490 nucleotides) under uncultured bacterium. RNAcentral describes it as "partial 16S ribosomal RNA". It matches the Rfam family "Bacterial small subunit ribosomal RNA", at positions 30 to 507 of the family's 1533-position model. The record is from RNAcentral.